RNAcentral lists this ribosomal RNA (207 nucleotides) under uncultured bacterium. RNAcentral's name for it is "partial 16S ribosomal RNA". It matches the Rfam family "Bacterial small subunit ribosomal RNA", at positions 568 to 774 of the family's 1533-position model. The record is from RNAcentral.
UCCGUAGGCGGCCUGUUAGGUGAGGUGUGAAAUCCCCCGGCUCAACCGAGGAAUUGCGCUUCAAACCGGCAGGCUUGAGGAGGAUAGAGGUGGGCGGAACUGAUGGUGGAGCGGUGAAAUGCGUUGAUAUCAUCAGGAACACCGGAGGCGAAAGCGGUCCACUGGGUCCUUUCUGACGCUGAGGGACGAAAGCUAGGGGAGCGAACG